Molecule: non-coding RNA, 388 nt
Organism: Odocoileus virginianus texanus
Lineage: Eukaryota; Metazoa; Chordata; Mammalia; Artiodactyla; Cervidae
Source: RefSeq, a predicted model, not a curated record
GAGAAUGGUUUGCAGGGAGAGAAGUAUUGGCUGAGGCCAUGGACAGCUAAGCUUGAAAUAUUAGGACUCAGACAUUUUCCCACUGUGGGUAAAUUCGGGAAAUUUUUAUUGCUGCCACAGUCCGUCGGGUUCCUUCCAGCACUUGCACCCCACUGACUCCAGGUUUUCGGGACAGAAGAUCUGUGAUUUUUGCUAUUUUACCCUUCACGUCCAAUCUUACAGAUGUAAAUAGGGAGAAGAUGUUGGGAAGGCUGGACAGAGUCCUCUGCAGAAGCAGGCAGUUGUACCCAAGAGGUGGGCAGAGCGGCAAGAACGAAUCUACACAUCAGUCACUAAGUGGCCCUGUGUUUAGUCCCAGAUGCAGAAUAGUGAAUGGGAAGCUAUUACU